UGGGGAAUAUUGCACAAUGGGGGAAACCCUGAUGCAGCGACGCCGCGUGAAGGAAGAAGUAUCUCGGUAUGUAAACUUCUAUCAGCAGGGAAGAUAAUGACGGUACCUGACUAAGAAGCCCGGCUAACUACGUCGCC
RNAcentral lists this ribosomal RNA (137 nucleotides) under uncultured bacterium. RNAcentral's name for it is "partial 16S ribosomal RNA". It matches the Rfam family "Bacterial small subunit ribosomal RNA", at positions 355 to 509 of the family's 1533-position model. The record is from RNAcentral.